AAUAAGCACAGUCAUAAGUUUCCGCGCACAAUUUUAGUCGUUCGUCUUAUUUUUUUUUUAUAAUUAGCAUUUUUUUUUAUAAUUAAGCAUUUUUAUUGCUAUGAGAUGAUAAAACAUAAAUAGUACUUUACUCGUGACUUAUGUUUUUAAUUUUUUUUAAAAAAAAUUCAAAUAAGACGAACGGUUAAAGUUUGACGCGGAAAAUCAUGGUUGCACUUAUU
Molecule: microRNA precursor, 221 nt
Organism: Oryza rufipogon (brownbeard rice)
Lineage: Eukaryota; Viridiplantae; Streptophyta; Magnoliopsida; Poales; Poaceae
Rfam family: MIR812 microRNA precursor family
Source: Rfam